Long non-coding RNA from Petromyzon marinus (sea lamprey), 3663 nucleotides. RefSeq lists it as uncharacterized. The record is from RefSeq and is a predicted model, not a curated record. NCBI's taxonomy places the organism in Eukaryota, Metazoa, Chordata, Hyperoartia, Petromyzontiformes, Petromyzontidae.
UGUAAGCGUUAAGCACGAGGUAUGAAGCGAUGAUGAAACGUGAUCUUAUGGAUACGUUUUGGGCUCAACUACUGCGUGUGCGUUCCGGAUUUCAUCUUUGCAAGACCUUCAAGAGCAUCACUGGAAUUGUCACGAGCCCAUUGAGCACCCUGGCUGUCAGGCCAGUGGCUGCUUUGCCAUUUUUUUCCAGCCGAGCUACCGAGAUGAGCAAGGACGACCAAGCCCCAUCGACAGCUGCUGAGGUGGAAAUGGCCGCGACUCGACUACCUGGAGGACAGAGGUCAGUGAAGGAGGGCGAUGCAGCUCAGGCGGCAACCUCGACUGAAACGCGGCAGGCUGUGGGGGAUGCCUGGAGGCAGCUGCCAAGGGGAACAGAGGUACCGGUGCAGAGGGAGGUGGUCUCUGCCAGGCUGAGCGAGAAUGCUGCAGAAACAGAUGCCUCUGCUGGCCAGUGGGCACAAGGCGAUCGGAGCGAGACCAUUAAGGUAGAUGCUGAGCCUAUAGGGGCAGGACGGUACCAGGAACGAGCGGGCCAAUGGCGAGGUGGACCGGGGGUGAGCUUCACACCGGUCCACGCUAGACGACACAACUGUGUUCGGGUGGCCUUCAAGGAAGACGUACCAGAUGAAGUGACCAUGGACCGCUCGAGUUUUGUACGGACAGUGGUGGUGGGGAUGCUACAAGCCGAGCCUAUGGACCUGUUUUAAUAGCCUUGCCAGGCGGAAGCUUUAAGACGAGCAACAUAUUGCAGCGUUUCCUGACUCGCUUUAAGGAAAAGGCAGGCGAGAGGCAUCUGUCGCUGCUUAAACUGCAAUUAUUGUCAAAACUGGAUACGAAAAUGGUGACUGAAUUCCUGUAUAACAAGACACUAGCAGAUCACGAUGUGGAGGUAUGGUUGUAACAGCACUGCCAUUUGUCGGGUUGCAAGUGGGUCCAAGACUCGCUAGGCAUCUGGACAGGUGCCAGACAGUGGUGGGUGAGGUUGGAUGGGGCCCUGCAGCAUAUCCCGAGUGCCCUUAAUAUUGGCGGUAGUCAGGACUACAUCGUGUACAAGGGCCAACCCAAACUCUGCAGGAGGUGUGGGGGAAGAGGCCAUCUGGCAGCGGCGUGUGAGGCGCGAAUGUGCUAUCACUGCAAAGCGCUGUACCACGUAGUGGAAGAGUGCAGAGUCCCAGCACAAAUGUAAUCUUUGCGGGAGCAAGGACCAUCUGUACCGGAAUUUCCCGGAAUCAUACGCAAAUAUGGUCCGGGCACAUAACUAGACAUUUGAGAGAGAGGACAGAGGGACGACUGAGGCUGGGUUGGAGCACACACCAAGCAACCGGGCAACUGAUGGCGUGAGUGGAGAGAUGGCUGGACUGAGAACGCCACUGCUGGACGAGAGGGAGGAGGGGGAGGUGUCGUCUGAGGAUGGGAAAGCAUCCGCGAGCCGGCAGGAAGGUGGGCCCGAAGCCAAUGAGAUGGAGGAGGGGGCCCCUGAACCAACUGUGGCUGGUGGGCGGAGGAGGUGGAGGCGACAGAGGGCGAAGGGGUGCAACAGAAGAAAGGUGACAAGGGGUCUUUCGAGAGGACAGCAAAGAGGAAGCGGAGGACACAGAGUGCUUCACCCUGAUCUGCCCCCUGGGAAGGCCCUCAGCUGUCAGACUCUUCAACAGACUUGGUUACAUCUGAAUAAGAAAUAACAACCAAGACGAGCCAAGAGAGUGGGGGUUUUCCUCGAAACCCAUGAGUGCUGAAUGUCUCCUGGACUUGGUCGACAAGAACUGUUCAUUGCUGGAGGAUGUCUCUGAGCCGGACUAGACACCCCUGGUCAUGGAGCUCUCCAUAUCAUCAGUCAAUGUGAGGGGAAUCUGGGGUGUGGCUAAGCGUAGAGCAACGGUGCAUUAUCUGCAAACUUUAAGAAAAGACAUUCCCUGCAGGAAUGCCACCUGCCGUACUCCCUCGGCCGGGCGAAGCUGUUUAAGUCCUGGGACAGACACUGUUUCUGGUCCGGGAGCAACGCUAAGUGCACUGGGGUAGCCAUCCUCCUAAGACGUAGAAGGGCUGAGGUACAGGAGGCCCAGGAAGUGGUCCCUGGCCGUAUGCAAUAUGUCAACUCCACAUACGACGGUGCUCCAGUACGCCUAAUUAACGUAUACGCCCCCACGCGGUAUGCGGAGCGAGUGGAACUAUGGGGUAAUAUAGCUGCCCUGCUGGUUAUGCAGAGGCAUGUCGUAUUGGGGGUGAUUUCAACUGCCUGCUCAGCCUGUCAAAUGUGCUGUCUACUUCUGGGGGCUGGAAGAUGGACACCUCUUCUCGGAAACUCAGUGCCUUAGUUAAGGAUUUUGAUUUAACUGACACCUUUCGAUUGCUGCACCCAGCAUGUCCAGGUUUCACUUGGGCCCAUAGUUCGGGAUCUCUGCUUUCAAGAAUAGAUUUUCUUUGUCUCGGCUAAAAUUAAAGCGGAGUAUGUGGAGACUGAACCGUUCUCAUUUUCGGAUCACAAACUGAUUACGGCGAGGCUACGAAUUCUAGGUGGAUUAAGGUUAGGGAAAGGGAUUUGGAAGAUGAACGUGAGUGUCUUAGCGGACGAAAGUAAUGAGGGCUUUCAUCAAACGCUAUGAAGAAUGGAGAAACCCGGGAUUUCCUUCGAUAAAUUAAACAGGUCAGGGCUCCUGAUGAGAUGGAUAAGCAAAUUCAAAUUGAGGAACUGGAUGAGGCGGUGCGAGGUCUACACUUGCACAAUACACCAGGGAAUCACGGCAUACUGGCCGAUUUUUAAGCCAAAUUCGGGGGCACCAUCAAGCAUGACUUGUUACAACUAUACAUGGAAAUUUUGGCGGAGGGUCCAGUACCAGAGUGCAUGAGGGGAGGGGUAAUAUCCCUUAUAUAAGGGGAAGGGGGCCCGCAGUGACCUUGGGGGCUGGCGCCCAAUUACCCUGCUAAAUACGGACAUUCCAUCACAGCACGACUAGGGAAAGGGUGGUAGAGGAACUAAUAUAUGCAGACCAGACAUGUGUGGUCCCAGGUAGGCAUAUUUCAGACAAUCUUAUCUUACUAAGGGAGGUCCUAGAGACCACGAUUGAUGGGGGAGGACCACUGGGGAUUAUUAAUUUUGACCAGAAGGCUUUUGACCGCAUAUCGCAUGAUUAUUUGUUUUCGGUGUUCGCACGCAUGGCUUUUGAUAAAUGGGGUCCUUUCUGAAGCAGUCCCAGUUAGAUCAGGCGUGAGACAGGGGUGCCCCAUGUCGCCAGUCCUAUUCGUCAUUGCAUGGAACCGUUUGCCCAGGCGGUCGGAACCAAUCGGAGAAUUCGAGGGGUGCACAUCCUGGGGUGUAGAGAACAGGAAAAGAUAGCAAUGUAUAUGGAUGAUUUUGUGGUGUUCUGCAGGGAUGUCUCCUCGAUUUGGGAGGUACUGGAACUGCAAGACUUUUUCAUUUGGCCUCAGGAUCCAGAAUUAACCUGAGUAAGAGCAAGAUUAUGAUUUUUGGAGACCCUAGGCUUUUUGAAGGUCGGCCAACACAACUGAGUGCAGGUAGAAGGGAUUAAGAUCCUGGGGGUCGCCUUCUAUCAGCAGGAAUCUGCAAAAAGAACUGGAAGGAAAAAAUAAAGGCUGUGAACGGCAGGCUGGCCAGGUAGACGACCAGAAGCCUCACCAUCGAAGGGAGGAUAUUAGUGUUGAAGG